UCCAUAUUGGGCUAUAUAAGGUUCAGUGGUAUCAUCAUGGAAUGGCUCUUUUGGAGCUUUCUUGGCAGUAGUUGUUGUGUACCCAGCUAUGUAAGGUGCAUUGGGAUCAUGGGUGGUUCUAGUCCUAUACCCUGCAAUGUAAGGUGCAUUGGGAUCAUGGGUGGUUCUAGUCCUAUACCCUGCAAUGUAAGGUGUAUUGGAAUCAUGUGUGGUUCUAGUCCUAUACCCUGCAAUGUAAGGUGUAUUGGAAUCACGGGUUGUCCUAGUUCUAUACCCUGCAAUGUAAUUUGGUUGAUUGUUAGCCAUAUGUGCACUAGUUGUGUACCCAGCUAUGUAAGGUGCAUUAGAAUCAUAAGUGUUGGUCCUAUACCCUGCAAUGUAAGGUGUAUUGGAUUCUUGGGCUUUAUGGGAAGCACUAGUUGUUCUGUAACCAGCUAUGUAUGGUGUAUUGGAAUCAUAGGUUUUGGUUCUAUACCCUGCUAUGUGUUGAUUGGCUUUGUUUGCAGCAUUGCUUGUUGUGUACCCAGCUAUGUAAG
RNAcentral lists this long non-coding RNA (536 nucleotides) under Glycine max (soybean). RNAcentral describes it as "long non-coding RNA (GMAX_LNC002438)". Lineage: Eukaryota; Viridiplantae; Streptophyta; Magnoliopsida; Fabales; Fabaceae. The record is from RNAcentral.